AACGAACGCUGGCGGCAUGCCUAACACAUGCGAGUCGAACGAGAUCUUCGGGUCUAGUGGCGCACGGGUGCGUAACGCGUGGGAAUCUGCCCUUUGGUUCGGAAUAACAGUUGGAAACGACUGCUAAUACCGGAUGAUGACGAAAGUCCAAAGAUUUAUCGCCAGAGGAUGAGCCCGCGUAGGAUUAGCUAGUUGGUGUGGUAAAGGCGCACCAAGGCGACGAUCCUUAGCUGGUCUGAGAGGAUGAUCAGCCACACUGGGACUGAGACACGGCCCAGACUCCUACGGGAGGCAGCAGUGGGGAAUAUUGGACAAUGGGCGAAAGCCUGAUCCAGCAAUGCCGCGUGAGUGAUGAAGGCCUUAGGGUUGUAAAGCUCUCUUACCCGGGAUGAUAACGACAGUACCGGGAGAAUAAGCUCCGGCUAACUCCGUGCCAGCCGCCGCCGUAA
RNAcentral lists this ribosomal RNA (449 nucleotides) under uncultured bacterium. RNAcentral describes it as "partial 16S ribosomal RNA". It matches the Rfam family "Bacterial small subunit ribosomal RNA", at positions 29 to 523 of the family's 1533-position model. The record is from RNAcentral.